AAAGUAGUCUCCUCCGCAUUAAUGUUGGGGAAGAACCAAAUACGCUUUCCGAGAAGGACAUAGAGAACACCGAAAACAGCAGCUCGUAAUGAAAGCAAGGUUACUAUGAACAGUAGAGCUCCAGCACAUGAAUAGAGCACAACAAUCUUGCAUUGAUAUGGAUAAACAGGAAACAAGCAGAUUGCUAGAGCCACCAGAGGCCACAGAAAUGAAACAAUUGUUUGCCAUAAAGCCCGUCUUUUCAUAAAAGUCCAUGCAAAAAAAGAAUCAUACUCAGAGAAAACUUGCUCAGUGUGUAUCUCCAGAUGUGCAGGCCAUGAGGAUAACUUUUUCUUCCCAGGCCUAAGAAUUUUCAUCACACGGUCACAUCUUACUAAAAGAUUCUUCUCGAGAAGAGUAUUGACA
This 405-nucleotide unclassified non-coding RNA is filed under the name Hevea brasiliensis (rubber tree). Lineage: Eukaryota; Viridiplantae; Streptophyta; Magnoliopsida; Malpighiales; Euphorbiaceae. The record is from RNAcentral.